UACGGAGGGAGCUAGCGUUGUUCGGAAUUACUGGGCGUAAAGCGCGCGUAGGCGGCUUUGUAAGUUAGAGGUGAAAGCCCGGGGCUCAACUCCGGAACUGCCUUUAAGACUGCAUCGCUAGAAUCCGGGAGAGGUGAGUGGAAUUCCGAGUGUAGAGGUGAAAUUCGUAGAUAUUCGGAAGAACACCAGUGGCGAAGGCGGCUCACUGGACCGGUAUUGACGCUGAGGCGCGACAGCGUGGGGAGCAAACAGG
RNAcentral lists this ribosomal RNA (253 nucleotides) under uncultured bacterium. RNAcentral's name for it is "partial 16S ribosomal RNA". It matches the Rfam family "Bacterial small subunit ribosomal RNA", at positions 524 to 776 of the family's 1533-position model. The record is from RNAcentral.